GACGAACGCUGGCGGCGUGCCUAAUACAUGCAAGUCGAGCGCAGGAAACUGACGGAACUCUUCGGAGGGAAGGCAGUGGAAUGAGCGGCGGACGGGUGAGUAACACGUAAGGAACCUGCCUCAAGGAUUGGGAUAACUCCGGGAAAUCGGAGCUAAUACCGGAUAGUUCAUCGGACCGCAUGGUCCGUUGAUGAAAGGCGCUCCGGCGUCACCUUGAGAUGGCCUUGCGGUGCAUUAGCUAGUUGGUGGGGUAACGGCCCACCAAGGCGACGAUGCAUAGCCGACCUGAGAGGGUGAUCGGCCACACUGGGACUGAGACACGGCCCAGACUCCUACGGGAGGCAGCAGUAGGGAAUCUUCCACAAUGGACGAAAGUCUGAUGGAGCAACGCCGCGUGAGUGACGAAGGUUUUCGGAUCGUAAAACUCUGUUGUAAGGGAAGAACACGUACGAGAGGGAAUGCUCGUACCUUGACGGUACCUUACGAGAAAGCCACGGCUAACUACGUGCCAGCCGCCGCCGUAA
Molecule: ribosomal RNA, 524 nt
Filed under: uncultured bacterium
Lineage: Bacteria
Description: partial 16S ribosomal RNA
Rfam family: Bacterial small subunit ribosomal RNA
Source: RNAcentral